Molecule: non-coding RNA, 565 nt
Organism: Microcebus murinus (gray mouse lemur)
Lineage: Eukaryota; Metazoa; Chordata; Mammalia; Primates; Cheirogaleidae
Source: RefSeq, a predicted model, not a curated record
GGGAAGACGGGGCAGAGGCAGAUGAGAGGCUCAGUGGAGGGAAGCAGACUUGGGUUUAGUGCCCCCACUGCUUCCUUGAGGGGAACACCCAUUCCUACCGAAGAGCAUUCCCAGAAGGCGAUGGGUUUCGAACAACAUUGUGAGGAGACUCGUCUCAGGGAACUGAGCAGGUGGUAAUCAGAGAAUACAGAGACCCCAGAAGACUUUUAUGGCAUUCCAGGCGGGCACGGGCCAGCCUGCGGGGAGAGCAGCAACACAGAGAGCCCUGCCUGCGGGUAUUCCUGACGCGAAGAAAUGGGCCUGAGCAGCAGCCUGCCUGACUUGGACCCAGCGGAGCCCGGCAAGCUUCCGGAGAAAUGGCCGCAGGUUUCCUCCGAACCCUCCCAGUGGCCGCACCCGGACGGACCCUCAGACUCCCGCCUCUCGGCCAGCAGCGCGCAGAGCGGGCCUCGGCGGGCUCCCGGCUCACAGAUCUUUCCUGUGCUUGGAUCCCUUUGACAGUCUGGUGAAGCUUAUGAACCCCUUCGUAGAAUAAUGUUUUUAAGUUAAUAAAAUAAACAAUUCA